UUAAGUUAUUAAGGGCGCACGGUGGAUGCCUUGGCACUAGAAGCCGAUGAAGGACGUUACUAACGACGAUAUGCUUUGGGGAGCUGUAAGUAAGCUUUGAUCCAGAGAUUUCCGAAUGGGGAAACCCAACAUGAGUUAUGUCAUGUUAUCGAUAUGUGAAUACAUAGCAUAUCAGAAGGCACACCCGGAGAACUGAAACAUCUUAGUACCCGGAGGAAGAGAAAGAAAAUUCGAUUCCCUUAGUAGCGGCGAGCGAAACGGGAAGAGCCCAAACCAACAAGCUUGCUUGUUGGGGUUGUAGGACACUCUAUACGGAGUUACAAAGGACGACAUUAGACGAAUCAUCUGGAAAGAUGAAUCAAAGAAGGUAAUAAUCCUGUAGUCGAAAAUGUUGUCUCUCUUGAGUGGAUCCUGAGUACGACGGAGCACGUGAAAUUCCGUCGGAAUCUGGGAGGACCAUCUCCUAAGGCUAAAUACUCUCUAGUGACCGAUAGUGAACCAGUACCGUGAGGGAAAGGUGAAAAGCACCCCGGAAGGGGAGUGAAAUAGAACCUGAAACCGUGUGCUUACAAGUAGUCAGAGCCCGUUAAUGGGUGAUGGCGUGCCUUUUGUAGAAUGAACCGGCGAGUUACGAUUUGAUGCAAGGUUAAGCAGUAAAUGUGGAGCCGUAGCGAAAGCGAGUCUGAAUAGGGCGUUUAGUAUUUGGUCGUAGACCCGAAACCAGGUGAUCUACCCUUGGUCAGGUUGAAGUUCAGGUAACACUGAAUGGAGGACCGAACCGACUUACGUUGAAAAGUGAGCGGAUGAACUGAGGGUAGCGGAGAAAUUUCAAUCGAACCUGGAGAUAGCUGGUUCUCUCCGAAAUAGCUUUAGGGCUAGCCUCAAGUGAUGAUUAUUGGAGGUAGAGCACUGUUUGGACGAGGGGCCCCUCUCGGGUUACCGAAUUCAGACAAACUCCGAAUGCCAAUUAAUUUAACUUGGGAGUCAGAACAUGGGUGAUAAGGUCCGUGUUCGAAAGGGAAACAGCCCAGACCACCAGCUAAGGUCCCAAAGUAUAUGUUAAGUGGAAAAGGAUGUGGCGUUGCCCAGACAACUAGGAUGUUGGCUUAGAAGCAGCCAUCAUUUAAAGAGUGCGUAAUAGCUCACUAGUCGAGUGACACUGCGCCGAAAAUGUACCGGGGCUAAACAUAUUACCGAAGCUGUGGAUUGUCCUUUGGACAAUGGUAGGAGAGCGUUCUAAGGGCGUUGAAGCAUGAUCGUAAGGACAUGUGGAGCGCUUAGAAGUGAGAAUGCCGGUGUGAGUAGCGAAAGACGGGUGAGAAUCCCGUCCACCGAUUGACUAAGGUUUCCAGAGGAAGGCUCGUCCGCUCUGGGUUAGUCGGGUCCUAAGCUGAGGCCGACAGGCGUAGGCGAUGGAUAACAGGUUGAUAUUCCUGUACCACCUAUAAUCGUUUUAAUCGAUGGGGGGACGCAGUAGGAUAGGCGAAGCGUGCGAUUGGAUUGCACGUCUAAGCAGUAAGGCUGAGUAUUAGGCAAAUCCGGUACUCGUUAAGGCUAAGCUGUGAUGGGGAGAAGACAUUGUGUCUUCGAGUCGUUGAUUUCACACUGCCGAGAAAAGCCUCUAGAUAGAAAAUAGGUGCCCGUACCGCAAACCGACACAGGUAGUCAAGAUGAGAAUUCUAAGGUGAGCGAGCGAACUCUCGUUAAGGAACUCGGCAAAAUGACCCCGUAACUUCGGGAGAAGGGGUGCUCUUUAGGGUUAACGCCCAGAAGAGCCGCAGUGAAUAGGCCCAAGCGACUGUUUAUCAAAAACACAGGUCUCUGCUAAACCGUAAGGUGAUGUAUAGGGGCUGACGCCUGCCCGGUGCUGGAAGGUUAAGAGGAGUGGUUAGCUUCUGCGAAGCUACGAAUCGAAGCCCCAGUAAACGGCGGCCGUAACUAUAACGGUCCUAAGGUAGCGAAAUUCCUUGUCGGGUAAGUUCCGACCCGCACGAAAGGCGUAACGAUUUGGGCACUGUCUCAACGAGAGACUCGGUGAAAUCAUAGUACCUGUGAAGAUGCAGGUUACCCGCGACAGGACGGAAAGACCCCGUGGAGCUUUACUGUAGCCUGAUAUUGAAAUUCGGCACAGCUUGUACAGGAUAGGUAGGAGCCUUUGAAACGUGAGCGCUAGCUUACGUGGAGGCGCUGGUGGGAUACUACCCUAGCUGUGUUGGCUUUCUAACCCGCACCACUUAUCGUGGUGGGAGACAGUGUCAGGCGGGCAGUUUGACUGGGGCGGUCGCCUCCUAAAAGGUAACGGAGGCGCUCAAAGGUUCCCUCAGAAUGGUUGGAAAUCAUUCAUAGAGUGUAAAGGCAUAAGGGAGCUUGACUGCGAGACCUACAAGUCGAGCAGGGUCGAAAGACGGACUUAGUGAUCCGGUGGUUCCGCAUGGAAGGGCCAUCGCUCAACGGAUAAAAGCUACCCCGGGGAUAACAGGCUUAUCUCCCCCAAGAGUUCACAUCGACGGGGAGGUUUGGCACCUCGAUGUCGGCUCAUCGCAUCCUGGGGCUGUAGUCGGUCCCAAGGGUUGGGCUGUUCGCCCAUUAAAGCGGUACGCGAGCUGGGUUCAGAACGUCGUGAGACAGUUCGGUCCCUAUCCGUCGUGGGCGUAGGAAAUUUGAGAGGAGCUGUCCUUAGUACGAGAGGACCGGGAUGGACAUACCUCUGGUGUACCAGUUGUCGUGCCAACGGCAUAGCUGGGUAGCUAUGUGUGGACGGGAUAAGUGCUGAAAGCAUCUAAGCAUGAAGCCCCCCUCAAGAUGAGAUUUCCCAACUUCGGUUAUAAGAUCCCUCAAAGAUGAUGAGGUUAAUAGGUUCGAGGUGGAAGCAUGGUGACAUGUGGAGCUGACGAAUACUAAUCGAUCGAAGACUUAAUCAA
This 2921-nucleotide ribosomal RNA is filed under the name Staphylococcus aureus. Its description in RNAcentral is "bacterial LSU rRNA". It matches the Rfam family "Bacterial large subunit ribosomal RNA". Lineage: Bacteria; Bacillati; Bacillota; Bacilli; Caryophanales; Staphylococcaceae. The record is from RNAcentral.